RNAcentral lists this microRNA (20 nucleotides) under Camelina sativa (false flax). RNAcentral's name for it is "cas-miR158b". Its record names the gene cas-miR158b. Lineage: Eukaryota; Viridiplantae; Streptophyta; Magnoliopsida; Brassicales; Brassicaceae. The record is from miRBase by way of RNAcentral.
UCCGAAAUGUAGACAAAGCA